UUUGACCGUCUCCCAGUUAUUGGCUCUUACAUCUUCGAUAAAUAGUUAAUAGUUCCCGCAAUCAAUCCACUUCUAAGUCGCAUCUCUGGCAAACAAGCAAUACAUGGAAAAUAAAACAGACCCUCAUAAUGAAUUAUGUGAUAUGAGAUCGAACCGAAUGCUCCAUGAAUCAUAUCCUCACACUGAACAACUUCAUAUUCGCUGCUUCGCAUACCACUAACCAAAUCAGGGUCUCCGAGGCUCUAUGAAUUGUUUGAAUUAUUAUCUCGUUCCCUCGAUCCGGACGGAGGAGCCACCUAUUUACCUUCCUUACAAUUCAUCCAAU
This 325-nucleotide long non-coding RNA is filed under the name Musa acuminata (dwarf banana). RNAcentral describes it as "long non-coding RNA (MACU_LNC004914)". The record is from RNAcentral. Lineage: Eukaryota; Viridiplantae; Streptophyta; Magnoliopsida; Zingiberales; Musaceae.